CAAGAAAUUAUUUAAUACGUAGUUCGGCAAACAAACCACAGGUUUCUCUAACCUGAGAUCUGAUAGACUCAAGCAGACUUCAAACCUGCUUCAGAGAUAUGUUUCAGCAAUGUUAUAGCCAAAACAUGGUAACAGUGUUACCUUCUUGACGAGUUAGAAAAAUAUUGACACAAUUUUUAUAAUCCAAAAAAAAAUGUUUAACAUGUAGCUUGGCCAAUAAACCACAGGUUUCUCUAACCUGAGGUCUGAUAAACUCAAGCUGUCUUCAAUCUUGCAUCAGAGAUUUGUUUCAGCAACGUUAUAGCCAAAACAUAGUAACAGUGUUAAAUUCUUGAUGCGUUACAAAAAUAUUGAUACAUUUUUUUAUAAUCCAAAAAAAAUGUUUGACAUGUAGCUUGGCCAAUAAACCACAGGUUUCUCUAAUCUGAGAUCUGAUAAACCCAAGAUGUCUUCAAUCUUGUAUCAGAGAUAUGUUUCAGCAAUGUUAUAGCCAAAACAUGGUAACAGUGUUAAAUUCUUGACGAGUUACAAAAAUAUUGAUAUGAUUUUUUAUAAUCCAAAAAAAUGUUUAACAUGUAGCUUGGCCAAUAAACCAUAGGUUUCUCUAAUCUGAGAUCUGAUAAACACAAGCUGUCUUCAAUCUUGUAUCAGAGAUAUGUUUCAGCAAUGUUAUAGCCAAAACAUGGUAACAGUGUUAAAUUCUUGACGAGUUACAAAAAUAUUGAUAUAAUUUUUAUAAUCCACAAAAAUGUUUAACAUGUAGCUUGGCCAAUAAACCAUAGGUUUCUCUAACCUGAGGUCUGAUAAACUCAAGUUGUCUUCAAUCUUGCAUCAGAGAUUUGUUUCAGCAACAUUAUAGCCAAAACAUAGUAACAGUAUUAAAUUCUUGAUGCGUUACAAAAAUAUUGAUACAUUUUUUUAUAAUCCAAAAAAAAUGUUUGACAUGUAGCUUGGCCAAUAAACCACAGGUUUCUCUAACCUGAGGUCUGAUAAACUCAAGCUGUCUUCAAUCUUGCAUCAGAGAUUUGUUUCAGCAACGUUAUAGCCAAAACAUAGUAACAGUGUUAAAUUCAUGAUGCGUUACAAAAAUAUUGAUACAAUUUUUUAUAAUCCAAAAAAAAUUGUUUAACAUGUAGCUUGGCCAAUAAACCACAGGUUUCUCUAAUCUGAGAUCUGAUAAACCCAAGCUGUCUUCAAUCUUGUAUCAGAGAUAUGUUUCAGCAAUGUUAUAGCCAAAACAUGGUAACAGUAUUAAAUUCUUGACGAGUUACAAAAAUAUUGAUAUAAUUUUUAUAAUCCAAAAAAAUGUUUAACAUGUAGCUUGGCCAAUAAACCAUAGGUUUCUCUAACCUGAGGUCUGAUAAACUCAAGUUGUCUUCAAUCUUGCAUCAGAGAUUUGUUUCAGCAACAUUAUAGCCAAAACAUAGUAACAGUAUUAAAUUCUUGAUGCGUUACAAAAAUACUGAUACAUUUUUUUUAUAAUCCAAAAAAAUGUUUAACAUGUAGCUUGGCCAAUAAACCACAGGUUUCUCUAACCUGAGGUCUGAUAAACUCAAGCUGUCUUCAAUCUUGCAUCAGAGAUUUGUUUCAGCAACGUUAUAGCCAAAACAUAGUAACAGUGUUAAAUUCAUGAUGCGUUACAAAAAUAUUGAUACAAUUUUUUAUAAUCCAAAAAAAAUUGUUUAACAUGUAGCUUGGCCAAUAAACCACAGGUUUCUCUAAUCUGAGAUCUGAUAAACCCAAGCUGUCUUCAAUCUUGUAUCAGAGAUAUGUUUCAGCAAUGUUAUAGCCAAAACAUGGUAACAGUAUUAAAUUCUUGACGAGUUACAAAAAUAUUGAUAUAAUUUUUAUAAUCCAAAAAAAUGUUUAACAUGUAGCUUGGCCAAUAAACCAUAGGUUUCUCUAAC
This 1907-nucleotide long non-coding RNA is filed under the name Zea mays. Its description in RNAcentral is "long non-coding RNA (ZMAY_LNC005127)". The record is from RNAcentral. Lineage: Eukaryota; Viridiplantae; Streptophyta; Magnoliopsida; Poales; Poaceae.